Molecule: ribosomal RNA, 253 nt
Filed under: uncultured bacterium
Lineage: Bacteria
Description: partial 16S ribosomal RNA
Rfam family: Bacterial small subunit ribosomal RNA
Source: RNAcentral
UACAGAGGGUGCAAGCGUUGUUCGGAAUUAUUGGGCGUAAAGGGCGCGUAGGCGGUGCGGUAAGUCUGUAGUGAAAUCUCUGGGCUCAACUCAGAGUCUGCUGCAGAAACUGCCGUGCUUGAGUGUGGGAGAGGUGAGUGGAAUUCCCGGUGUAGCGGUGAGAUGCGUAGAUAUCGGGAGGAACACCUGUGGCGAAAGCGGCUCACUGGACCACAACUGACGCUGAGGCGCGAAAGCUAGGGGAGCAAACAGG